Molecule: unclassified non-coding RNA, 359 nt
Filed under: uncultured Septoglomus
Lineage: Eukaryota; Fungi; Glomeromycota; Glomeromycetes; Glomerales; Glomeraceae
Description: sequence contains 18S rRNA gene
Source: RNAcentral
CGUAAGGCGCCGAAUGAGUCAUUAAAAAUUAACAUCAUCCGAUCCCUAGUCGGCAUAGUUUAUGGUUAAGACUACGACGGUAUCUGAUCGUCUUCGAUCCCCUAACUUUCGUUCUUGAUUAAUGAAAACAUCCUUGGCAAAUGCUUUCGCAGUAGUUAGUCUUCAAUAAAUCCAAGAAUUUCACCUCUGACAAUUGAAUACUAAUGCCCCCAACUAUCCCUAUUAAUCAUUACAUCGAUCCUAGAAACCAACAAAAUAGAAUCUGAUGUCCUAUUUCAUUAUUCCAUGCUAAUGUAUUCAAGCGUAAGCCUGCUUUAAACACUCUAAUUUUUCAAGGUAACAGUCCUAAUUCCCCAUAA